RNAcentral lists this ribosomal RNA (227 nucleotides) under uncultured bacterium. RNAcentral's name for it is "partial 16S ribosomal RNA". It matches the Rfam family "Bacterial small subunit ribosomal RNA", at positions 260 to 504 of the family's 1533-position model. The record is from RNAcentral.
ACGGCCUACCAAGGCGACGAUCAGUAGCCGACCUGAGAGGAUGACCGGCCACAUUGGGACUGAGACACGGCCCAAACUCCUACGGGAGGCAGCAGUGGGGAAUAUUGCACAAUGGGGGAAACCCUGAUGCAGCGACGCCGCGUGAAGGAAGACGUAUUUCGGUAUGUAAACUUCUAUCAGCAAGGAAGAUGAUGACGGUACUUGACUAAGAAGCCCCGGCUAACUAC